GGCGAACGCUGGCGGCGUGCUUAACACAUGCAAGUCGAACGGAAAGGCCCUGCUUGCAGGGUACUCGAGUGGCGAACGGGUGAGUAACACGUGGGUGAUCUGCCCUGCACUUCGGGAUAAGCUUGGGAAACUGGGUCUAAUACCGGAUAGGAGCCAUCUUUAGUGUGGUGGUUGGAAAGUUUUUUCGGUGUAGGAUGAGCUCGCGGCCUAUCAGCUUGUUGGUGGGGUAAUGGCCUACCAAGGCGGCGACGGGUAGCCGGCCUGAGAGGGUGUACGGCCACAUUGGGACUGAGAUACGGCCCAGACUCCUACGGGAGGCAGCAGUGGGGAAUAUUGCACAAUGGGCGCAAGUCUGAUGCAGCGACGCCGCGUGGGGGAUGAAGGCCUUCGGGUUGUAAACUCCUUUCGCUAGGGACGAAGCUUUUUGUGACGGUACCUAGAUAAGAAGCACCGGCUAACUACGUG
This 465-nucleotide ribosomal RNA is filed under the name uncultured bacterium. RNAcentral describes it as "partial 16S ribosomal RNA". It matches the Rfam family "Bacterial small subunit ribosomal RNA", at positions 28 to 507 of the family's 1533-position model. The record is from RNAcentral.